This 361-nucleotide transfer RNA is filed under the name uncultured Microcystis sp. RNAcentral's name for it is "partial 16S-23S ribosomal RNA intergenic spacer". The stretch from base 136 to 209 matches the Rfam family "tRNA". The record is from RNAcentral. Lineage: Bacteria; Bacillati; Cyanobacteriota; Cyanophyceae; Chroococcales; Microcystaceae.
AAAGGGAGACCUAAUUCCAGUAGGAGACGAAAAAAAAGUAGUCCCUACCAAGAAUCAAUCCCAAAAGGUCGGAGCGAGGCAAAAUUGGCUUUCAAACUAGGUUCUGGGUUCACACAAGACCUGAAUCAGGAACAAGGGCUAUUAGCUCAGGUGGUUAGAGCGCACCCCUGAUAAGGGUGAGGUCCCUGGUUCGAGUCCAGGAUGGCCCACCUGCACAGGUGGAAGAAAGAAAAGAAGCUCCGAAUCAGCACCUUAUCUUACUUAUAUAGUAAGAGAGAAUGCUGGCUCUGAGUACAGAGUCCAGAGGGACCUUGAAAACUGCAUAGAGCUAGGUGAAAAAGCCAAAAAAGAAGACCGCAAG